ACACCUCAACUCUCAUGGCUUGCCGUGAUGAGCUUGGACUUUGGGGGUCUUGUUGGCCUGUGAGCCAGCUCCUCUUAAAUGAAUUAGCUUGCCGGUGUUUGGUGGCAUCACAGGUGUGAUAACUAUCUACGCUUGUGGUUUCCCAUCAGAUAACCUUCAGUGAUGGAGGUUCACUGGGGCUUAUAAAUUUCUCUCCUCGGUGAGGACAGAUUUUGACU
Molecule: unclassified non-coding RNA, 218 nt
Filed under: Tomentella stuposa
Lineage: Eukaryota; Fungi; Basidiomycota; Agaricomycetes; Thelephorales; Thelephoraceae
Description: partial internal transcribed spacer 2
Source: RNAcentral